GGAAGGGGCUGGCGGAAACCUCGAGGGGUUCUACGCAUGGUGGAGCUUCGAUGAAAAGCCUUCCACGGAAAGGGUGUGUAGAGCACAAAGGAGAAAGAAUUCAAAGCCUUCUUCCAGCCGCGCGUGAGGAACUCAGCGGGCAGGGUAGGAACCGGAUGGAUGAGGACUGGAGGGCACAGCCAGUGAACGGAAGACGGAGUGGAAGCUAACUGGACCGGAAGUGGGAUCUUUUCAUGAUGGGAAGAUCAAAGCCUCCUGGAGAGCCCUUGCUACCCCAGACAGAAUUUCUCGUGGAACCUGAAAUUCGCUGACUGGAUGGAUGGCCUGCAAACUCCACCUGUCUCCACCCCUGACUCCCAGCGCUACAGUUACAGAGCUGUUUCCCGUGCCUUGUUUUGACAUAG
Molecule: long non-coding RNA, 404 nt
Organism: Peromyscus leucopus (white-footed mouse)
Lineage: Eukaryota; Metazoa; Chordata; Mammalia; Rodentia; Cricetidae
Exons: 3
Source: RefSeq, a predicted model, not a curated record